CAUCUUGGUGCCUCGAUAUCCUUAUCUGUAAAGUGGGAAUAAUGCUGGCACCUGCCUUGUAGACUUGUUAUAAGGAUUCCUUGAAGCGAUGCCUGUAAAGCUCCUGGAAGCUUGUUGGUGAUCCUUAUGCCAUUAAAGCUUGAAAUGCCCAGCCUUAGCACAUUGCCUGGCACAGCCAGAGGUGCAGUUGCUGUUAUAUCCCUUCCACCUCCUCUUCGACUGCAUACCCUCAACUGUCUUCUCCCUGUACAGCAGGAAUGUUCAACUCUGGCUGCCCAUUAGAAUCACCUGGAGAGGUUUUUAAAGCCCUGUUGCCUGGAGCAAUUAAAACAGAAUUUCAGGAGGUCAUACGGAAGCAUUAUUAUUUCAGGUGAUUUCAAUGUGCAGCCAAAGCUGAGAAACACGGUUCUGUAGCAGCGGCUUGCAAACUUUAGUGUGCAUCAGAAUCACCUGGAGGGCUUGUUAAAACUCAGUCUAUGGGACCUGCCCGAGAGUUUCUAAUUUCGUGGAUACAAGACAACUCUCCUUCCUUCCACCAUCUGUGUGGCUGCCCCUCCUUUUAUUUGCCAUCUGUAUCUCUUUACCCUCUUCCUAAUGACCUCUUCCAGACCCAUUACUGAAAUCUUUUUUGAGAAGAUUUGCCAGUAGGUGUCUUUAUGCCAGUGGGGUCGAUAUUCUCAAACCUGUUCCAGCUUUAGUCACAGUUGACCAUGUCUCAAAAUUCUCCUCCUUUUAGUUCAGAGCUGCCACUCUCGGAGUUGUCCUCAUUUCUCUUUCCUUCUCCCUCCUCUGCUUGGAACUCGUGACUCCCAUGACCAUUCUUUGGGUCCCUAUAUUUAUCCCUUAAAAAGAGCACAGUCUUAAGUGUGAGACAGAUGUGGGUUUAUGUCUUGUACUUGGGCAAUUCAAACUCUGAGCCUCAUUUUUCUCACUGGUAAGUCAUGGGUGAUAAUAGUAUCCCUAUAAAUAAUACGUCCCUGACACAUAACACUCAACAACUAGCUAUUAUAGUGUUUCACCUUUAAGAACAUUGCAAAAUCUUGACCUCAGAGAGAAUUCCUAGGGUAGAGGGACUGGCCCAAGGGAUGCAAAGGGCAGAGCUGGGAAUACAGAAAGCACGGCAUGGAGGAACAAAGCCAGGGUUUACCAAAAGCAAGGAGAUGAUUCCAGAAAUUUUCCAGGAGACCUGGGGAGACAGCGAAGUGACUGAUGGGAUGUGAUAAGAAGAACUGACCAAGAGACUUCCCAUGACGGCAUUAAAAUGUGGGCCUUCCGAACACAGGGAGGGUGUUACUAACGGCACUAGGAUGGCCCCAGAAGAAAUGCACAAGGGGAUUUCAACCCCAUAAGUGUGGAACUCAGUCACUUUGGCAGGAAACAAAGUGAUAAGAACCUGUUACAGUUUGCACCAUCUAUUACAGUCCAUGCAAAACAUGACCGUGGGGUGUUACACAGAGCUCUCAUUGCAAGAUAAGGUCUCUGCGUGCUGUUUCCCGUCGAUGAUGUUAUUCAGCAGGAUGGCUCACAUGUUGAAACUUGAAACUCCUUGGGUGAAAAAAAAUCCCUCUGCAGGCUCUACCAGAUGUUACUUGUUGUAGCUCCUCAAGCCCAAAAAAAUGAGUUAAUCCUUGAAGGACAUUAUUUUGAACUUGCAUCAAACUCAGAGGCUUUUAUCCAACAGGCCAUGGCAAUUAAAAACAAGGCUAUCAGAAGAGCUGUGGGUGGUAGUCCUGUCUCUGAGAAAGGAACAGGGCCACUGGCUGACGGCCGCAUUCCAGAAUGCCUCCAGAUGCAGAGGCCCUCACUUAGUGUGAUGUUGUGAAAAUACUGCACUUUAAACACAUGUAUCAUAAACAAAACUUCCUCGCCCUCUAAAGACCUCACAGAAGUAUCACUCCAAGGCACUUCUCUUCUGAAUGCUCCAGGCCUUGCUGACCUCAGUUACCUUCUAGUUCUCUUACCCUCCUCACCCACAGCACACAGGUCACCACUUAAUAUUCUUGCGAUAUAUAGUCUCCUUUCUCCAGUUAUAUGGUGAGUUUCUAGACAUCCUAAACCCGUUACAUUUGAUAUUCCUCUGUCUCUCUGAAUGCCUAGCACUCUAAGAGGCACAUAAUUUAAAAAGAGUCAUGUUCUUCCUUGCACGCCUGAAAUCUAGCACAGCACCUGGCAUGUCGCAGACGCUCAAUAAGCAAAUAGGUGGUUAUUAAAUGAGUGAAACUGUUGAUUGAUAGCCUGGUUGAGUCAGCAUGAAAAGGUAGAUAAAGGGAAGAUUCAGCAGGCAUCUUAUAUUGUUUACCCAGCACCUCACUCCUCUCCUUCCAGAAGUUUCCCUCACCCAACCCCAUCUUUGUGCCCACCACAGGAGCUGAUGCAAACUGCUUCAGUGAGUUCUUUUUUUGGGACUUUUUGACUUGGAACUAGAGACAAUGUUAAGAUAGUGUCUUUCUAGUGACCAAAGCUAUGUGGAUGUACCAGUAAAUUUAGGAGCUAUUGGCCCCCAUGCUUUUUGCUACACAGAGAAGGCUCAUCUCCAGCUGGAGUGAAGAAUGAAGCUAAUUCUGCAAACAGAAAGUUUUCAAAACUCCUCAUCCUCAUUUGUGGUUUUAAUUAGCACCUUUUUGCCUCCCCUCCCUGGGCUGGUGUAUUACCAGAUACAGGGGAGGCAUGUAUCAUACCUGGAUGCUAGUUUCUGGUAGCUUGGGUCUUUGCUUUUCAUUUUCAACAGAUUUUUUCCAUAUGUGCAUUUGUCGAGAAGCUCAGAUGCCUGGGGCUGCAAUGCCAUCUGUGUAUAAUGAAAAACAUUUAUAAAGACUUUCCAAAGUGCACAAAGGGUGAUGGGCUCUCUGAACAGCAGCCAUGGACUUCACACCAAAAUAUGGUCUCUGUGAGCAAGGGCAAUGGGAAGAGCCUUUGCACAGUUCUGUGGUAGAGAAGAUGGUUAUAGAGACCAAAUGGUGUUCACGUUUUCUGAACCUCAAACCAGGGCACAUAGCAUAUGAGGGAAUUUAUGGAAACAAUAGGACAGCUUGUUUGAUGUUGAGCAACCAGCUUGAGAUUGCUGGUUACCGUAUUUAUAGAGCUAAUCUUUAGCAUCAAGACCUACUCUAGACAGCCUGGUUUAUUUACUGCCACUCAAAGAGCCCGUGCUGGUUUUAUCCUUGGCAUAUGCCGCAAAGUUCCGAGUGUCAAAGAGUUCCUCCUCCCUUUUUAUGUUUUCCAUUCACGUCCUACGCAUCCUGGAGGUCCAACUUCUUACCUCCUCCAGAAACGACUGUUCCAUCUGAUCCGCCACACCUGGCAUUUCUAAGAAUGGCAAAGACAUGUCAUAUAACCACAUACCCACACUCCACACAUCCGUGACCGACAUCACUAAUUGAUGUUAGGGCUCUUUCCUUCUGUAGCUGGCAAAGCCCUCAGAAUUCUUCCCAACACAGCUCUGGAGGCAACCACUAAAGGCUGACUGGAGUUCUGUGAAUCCUAGUUGCUGUCUCUCAUCUGUUCCCUUAGAUUGCUACUGAAAGUUUCUGAGCGUGUUUGUCUUCUUUCUGUAGCUGAGCUGAGUCCCUGAGGACGGCGACCAGGCCUCAAUGGCCCUAACAACAACAAUAAUAGCAGUGGCGAACAUUUAUUGAGUACUUAUAUGUCCUGCACUGUGCUGGCCAUUUAACACGUAUUAUCUAAUGGAAUCCUCAGCCAUUCCUCUGGAGAAGAUAGAAAAUCACAUAAAGCAACUCUUUUCAACAACUGCUUGUCAGUGGUUUGUUUUCACCUUGGGGCAACUAACUACAUUCCACUGUGGAAGUUCUCAUUGAAGAAACAGAGAGCCUAUGAGUUGAGAAAUGAAGUUUUUCCUUCAGCAGCUUUCUCGUUUUAGAAAAGGAAUAAAUUGUACAUAACCAAACAGGCGGGCCUCCCUAUCCAAGCCAAGCACAAGAGACUUAAGCACAGAUGGGGUUUUACCAUGUUGGCCAUGCUGGUAUUGAACUCCUGGCUUCAAGUGAUCCACCUGCCUCGGCCUCCCAAAUUGUUAAGAUUACAGGUAUGAGUCACACCAUCCAGCUCACCUUCUAUGUUUCUUUACUAAUAGAAAAAUCAAGCCCUUUGCAAAAAUGCCUGCAUACAGCAUGAUAGAGAAUAACCUUCAAUCCUGCUCCUUUAGGGGCGUAUCUUUAUUCAUCAUGUAUUUAACAGCUAAUUUUAAUAAUAGCUCAUGUUCAGUGAGUAUUUACUAUGUGCUGGGCUUUACAUGUUUUAAGCUUUACACAUUUUAGCUUGUUCUCAGCAAUUCCAGGAAGUAAAUUGUCGUUAGCAUUUUUAUUUUUAUUUUUAUUUUUUGAGUCGGAGUCUCACUCUAUCGACCAGACUGGUGUGCAGUGGCGCAUUUUCGGCUCACUACAACCUCUGUCUCCCAGGUUCAAGCUGCUCACUUCAGCCUUCCAAGUAGCUGGGACUAUAGGUGUGUGCCACCAUGCCCGCCUAAUUUUUGUGUUUAUUGGUAGAGAUGGGGUUUCACCAUGUUGGCCAGGCUGGAGCAUUUUGAUUUUACAAUUAAGGCUAAAGAAGGGAAGCAAAUUACCUAAGGCUGCCAGGUAAUAAGUGACUGAACCUAGGCAGUCUAAUUCCAGAAUACAUGCUCCUGAGCACUAUAUUAGUGUUCAUUUUGGCUGUGGAUAACAGAACCCAAAAUGAGAGUGGUUUAAAUAAAAUGGAACUUUAUUUCUCAUAUGUGAAAGUCCAGAGGUUAGUCCAAACUAGAUAAUCCAAAGCUAGACUGAAAGCUCGAUUCCACACGGUGCUCAGGGCUCCAGGCUCCUUCUCUAUCCCAGGACUCCUAAUGUGUAGUUUCAUCCCUAACAUUCAAAAUAGAUGCUAGAACUUAAGCCAUCCCAUCUGUAUUCCAAGCAGCAAGAUGAAAGAAGGGACAUCAUAGAAAAGGGAUGAAACACAUGCCAGUUGUUUACUAUGAACUGUUCCUGGAUGCAGCCAUGUGACAUUUCUGUUUACACACCAUGGAUCAUAGUAGCAAGAAGACUGGGGGUAGUCAUUAGUCUAUGUGGCUUUGUGACUGGUUAUAAAUUAGAGGAUUUCAUUACUGAAAGGAGGAGAGAAGUAAUCAGAGGCUAGAUGGGUAUAUAGAAGGAUAGAGGGAGAUGAAGCUGGAGAAGGGGCAGAGCCUGGGUGAUGAGAACUUACCAGGACCCUAUGUUUCCCCACUCUAAUCUUUGGGUUCAUUUCCUAUUCCAGGAGGUACCAAAGAAAGGCAAGGGCCAUACCUUGAAAACCAUCAGUUAUGGCAAGUGACUGACCCUCUGAAGCUUUGUAAUCAGCACUCCUAGAACUCAACUCAGGCGUCCACUUAGGUGAUGAACUUUAGGCAGGUUCCAAUCUGGGACCACCAGUUCAUUAGGUUCAAAUGGACGUGGGUGGCUUCUGAUUGGUGUCUCCAGAAAGCCCAGAAAGGGAAGAAGGUGUGGGGAGGGGGACACUGUAUUGGGCCACAGCCUCAGAGUGGCCCUUGCCUCUGAACCUCCAGAGCAAGCCUGGAUGCCAGCCAUGAGAGAGGAACUUCACGGUUUCCAAAGCUCUUUUGCAUGUGCUAUUUCCCCUGCAACACAAAAUUGUGGUAGGGCUUGCUCUGCUCCCUGUUUUGCCAGUGGGAAAAUGAGUCAGAAUCCCCCUGUGAUUUUCAGUAGGAUGAGGUGAGGUUUUAGAAUCUGUCUUUUCACAGGGGUGUCAGGGGAGUCUUAGGUUUAAAUAACUUUGGAACCCCCCCAGCUCAGGGUGGCAAGUGAUAUCGGAGGGUCACAUCUCAGGGGGCAGAUAAAUCACAAGACCGUAGACUCUGUGAUUAAUAAAAUGCUCUAAUUUAUUUUUUUAAAUUUUUAUUUAUUUAUUUAUUUAUUUUUGAGACAGAGUCUCACU
Molecule: long non-coding RNA, 5925 nt
Organism: Callithrix jacchus (white-tufted-ear marmoset)
Lineage: Eukaryota; Metazoa; Chordata; Mammalia; Primates; Cebidae
Source: RefSeq, a predicted model, not a curated record